RNAcentral lists this ribosomal RNA (548 nucleotides) under uncultured bacterium. Its description in RNAcentral is "bacterial SSU rRNA". It matches the Rfam family "Bacterial small subunit ribosomal RNA", at positions 32 to 573 of the family's 1533-position model. The record is from RNAcentral.
AACGCUCUCGGCGUGCCUAACACAUGCAAGUCGAGCGGUAACAGGUGUAGCAAUACAUGCUGACGAGCGGCGAACGGGUGAGUAAUGUUUCGGAAUCUGCCCAAUGGUGGGGAAUAACCAGCCGAAAGGUUGGCUAAUACCGCAUGAGUCCUACGGGAGAAAGCGGGGGAUCGUAAGACCUCGCGCCGAUGGAUGAGCCGAAACCGGAUUAGCUAGUUGGUAGGGUAACGGCCUACCAAGGCGACGAUCCGUAGCUGGUCUGAGAGGACGACCAGCCACACUGGGACUGAGACACGGCCCAGACUCCUACGGGAGGCAGCAGUGGGGAAUAUUGGACAAUGGGGGGAACCCUGAUCCAGCGACGCCGCGUGUGUGAAGAAGGCCUGCGGGUUGUAAAGCACUUUUAGUGGGGAUGAAAAGCUCAGGGCUAACACCUCUGGGUCUUGACCUAACCCACAGAAAAAGCACCGGCUAACUCUGUGCCAGCAGCCGCGGUAAUACAGAGGGUGCAAGCGUUAAUCGGAAUUACUGGGCGUAAAGCGUGCGUA